RNAcentral lists this long non-coding RNA (659 nucleotides) under Capsicum annuum. RNAcentral's name for it is "long non-coding RNA (CANN_LNC007019)". The record is from RNAcentral. Lineage: Eukaryota; Viridiplantae; Streptophyta; Magnoliopsida; Solanales; Solanaceae.
UUUUGCUUCAAUUUUUAAUUUUUUUAAUUAAUUUUGUUUGAUUUCAAUUUUUCUUCACGGAUUUAGCUUUAUUUUUUUAAUUUUUUCAUCGAUUUUCAAUUUUUCUUCACCAAUUUUUCUUGGUUUGAUUUUAAUUUUUUUUAUUGAUUUUGUUUGAUUUAAAUUUUCCUUCACUGAUUUAGCUUUAUUUUUCAAUUUUUCUUCUUCGAUUUUGUUUGAUUUUUAUUUUUUCUUCGUUGAUGUUGCUUAUUUUUUAUUUUUCUUCAUCAAUUUUGCCCUUAAUGAUUUAAAAAAAGGUGCUUAUUAUUUAAUCUUCACGAACCUUUAAAUGCAUAUAUAAAUUUUUCUCAAAAAUUCUUACCAUUAAAUAAAUUAAGAUUGACAUAAAUAACGAAUAAAAAUAUGAAAGAAGUACAAAUUACUGAGCAUUGAGUUAAUAUAUUAUUUUUGGCAAGGCGAACUCCUAAAUGUGUAUCUAAUUUUUAAAAUCUCUCCCAAUAAUUUUCACCAUUAAUUAAGCUUAAGAUUGACAAAAAUGAUGGAUAAAAAUAAGAAAAAAAGGUAUAAAUUAAUGAAAAUGAGUUAGUAUACUUUUGAUGGGCCAAAUUGGGCGCCACAUCAGCCAAAAAAAGGCUUUCACGCGCCUUCAUAGAGGUGUG